Molecule: long non-coding RNA, 4433 nt
Organism: Dunckerocampus dactyliophorus (ringed pipefish)
Lineage: Eukaryota; Metazoa; Chordata; Actinopteri; Syngnathiformes; Syngnathidae
Exons: 4
Source: RefSeq, a predicted model, not a curated record
CCGAUAACAGACACCAAUGAUACACAAAUAGACUUUCGGACAAUCGUUAAUAAUAAUAAUUACUGCGGUGUGUUUUCUGUUUUUAACCCAUGCGUACACGUUCACAUGUAGCCUAUGUCGUGUAAUAGAGUAAACAUCGUUAAUAAUUGUUUGUAUCCGGACACAUUAGUCUCAGCGCACUUUGACGCAGUCUCGGGUUAGCUUAGCGUGCUAGCUGCUAACAAAGAGACGUGGAAGUUAUCAACACAUUGUUAAGCAGAGAACAGCCGUUGUGAUUGUUGAAAAUGUGCGAAAGAACGAUAGCAGAGUCCGAGGAUGAACUUUGUCCAACAAAAGAAGACAACAAGCGGCAACAUCAACUAUUGGACAUUGUUUUCAGGAAGCAUCAAGUUGUGUUACACAGAACAGAGGGACAGAAGGAGUCACGUCACCUUCACAUUAAACAGGAAGCGGAGGAGCCACAGCCCCCCUACAUUAAAGAGGAGGAGGAGGAGGAUUACAGCAUCAGUCAGGAGGGGACACCAAUCACUGGAGGCUCCACCUGUCCUUCAAGAUGCUCUCCCUCUUGACUGAUUCUGUGAUCCUCCUCUUCCUCUUUACUGUGGAUGGGUUCUGGUCUCUCCUCCUUUUUGAUGUGGGGGGGCUGAGGCUCCUUGUGCUGAAGAUGUUCUUCACUGACGUCUGCAGGACACAAGAAGACAAACACAUGCUUUACAAAAAUUCUUCACAGGCACGCCUCCCUCCUGAGCAAUCCAGAGUUCCUCCUCUUCCCUUUUAAUGUUGGGAAACUGUAGCUCCUCCAGCUUCAAGGAGGAACUCCCACCCUGAGGCUGAGUGGGUCCUUGACGCCCAAUCAGUUGCUGGCCGUCUUAUGGGAUACAAAUGAUUUUGAGUAAAGAAAAAAAAAAGUUUGGUUAAAGUUGCAAUACCAAUGAAAUUUGAACGUGUUUACUCACAGCUAUAAACGAGUGAAUCGUUUGAUCGGUACUGUAUGUGUAACCCAAUCUGCUUCACAUCAACAUGUUCAUUGGCCGCCAUCUUGCAUCAGAUAUUUACAGUAUAAUACUGCUUAACAUAACUCGUUCAUGCAGUCCUCUUGAUUCCUUAUAUUAACCAGGGGAGUCGUGUUAAAUUAUUAAACACAACAUGUCAACAUACCUUGACUGUGAAGGAAAAUGUUAGUCGAGCAAACCUCCAGCUGUUCUCGCUCGUACUCCUCUCUUGUUCGAGACAGUUCUUCCUCACCCGACGCCAUUGUGCUUUAAAUCACACAGAAAUGAAGUCAGCGGUCGCUGUUUGUCUUUUCUUUAUAACUCUUUUGUGCUUUUGAAUCCAUUCCAUGAUCAUGUCUGUCAACUUCCGCGUUUAGCUUCUUCCUCCUUGUUUUUUAUUGGCGGUGGCAGACCAGCUACAGGUAUUAGGUGCAUUAGCACCACCUACCGGUCACAGAAUACAUUACAAAUAUAUUAUACACGUAUUUGAAAAUUCGUGUAGAGAAUUGAUUGUCAUAUUUUUGUAAUUCAUAGUCACCACCGGAAGCUAUAACAGACUAAAAAAGUCAUUGCCUCACACAUUAGGUGGUUAAAAUACAGCUGCCUGUGAUUAUACACCUGGCCAGUGGGUGGUUUCGUGUGCACAUGAAGCUUCAACAGUGCCUCCUGACACAAGAUGGCGAUGGCUUCGUCACAACAAAUAUUUCAUCAACAGCCGCAGUUAGUCGCGGAUUCACCCACGCUCUCAUAGCAUUUGUACUUUACAUAUUUUUACACAAGCACAACACGUUACAGUCAUACUUCAUGUCUGCGAAGCGAUGUGUUGAUAACUUCCGUGUCUCUUUGUUUAGCAGCUAACAAGCUAAGCUAGCCCGAGAACCUUCAAAUGACUGCUGUCUCGUGGUGUAUCAGAAGAGCCGAAAGAGUCGAUUCCAUUCAGUAAGAGUUGGUGCCCCAAUUUCGAUACAAAUAUCGAUGGCGUCAAUGCGAUAAGUAUUAAAUUGUUCACAGAUAAGUUUGUUUGUGAAAUCUUUUAUUCUGAUUAAAAUCAGGAUCAACACAUCAAAUGCAAUUUUUAUUCAAUGAUCUUGACAAAAUACCUAAAAACGUAUUUAUAUCCGUAUCGGAAAUGCUGGCUCUGUAUUUACUUGGUGUCGGACUGAUAGCAAAAUUUGCAGUUUUCAGCUGUCAGUCGCAGCUAUGCUCACGUGAGGACAGAGGUACAUUUUUGCUUUGAUUGACAUGCCAUGCGGCCAAUCACACGUGAGAAUAUUUCUUCAUGAUGUGAAGUAGAUCGGAGUGAGUGCCAAAAAUAGCACAUCACCAUCACGACUGCUACCAAAGAAGUAGUAGCUUCUUCCUGAGAGGGUAGAUACUACAUCCAGUAUCGUGUGGUAGCCACAAGUCACCGAGAGGUGACAGCAUUCCAAAGUCACGCAUGGGGACGAGCAAACAGCAAGAUGGCGUUUGGUGUAGAAAAGUGUACUUUUCUGUUCUUAAUCCAUGCGUACACAUAUGUCGUGUAAGAGAGUAAACAUCGUUGUAGGAAAGGGGUAGUGGUUCUUUUACAGUUGGGACACCAUGGAAAGAUUCCGAUCAGAGAAUCGUUAAAUCAUCUUCAUUAUGGAGGUGGAUAGGCUCUUUAGAAAUGUGUGUUAGUGCACAUGAAAUUGGAUUUGUCCAAGUAGGACUGUGUCCAAAGGCUUGUAUGUGUGUUCUAAACAAUAGGAACACGUGCAAUUAUAAACAAUGCCAAGUAAAGCAGCCCAACAGCACUCACGUGACACGAAUAAAAACAUGCACAGUACACAUAUCAAGUCAUGCUAAGAGAUAGACAAGUGAGAGCAAACAUGCUAGUCUGUAAGCCAGCUAGCAAACAACCACAAGCGCAUGGCUCAGAAGUGUACCCCCAAUCACACCACAUCCAACAAACUAGCUUUCAUUUAGCUUCCGACACAGCAUAAAUCACGCAACAGCAAACACUCCUAAUGAACAAAGAAUCAUCAAACUCACUUUGUUGAGUCAUACAAGGCACACCAAGGAUGGACACUUCAUACUCCACAUGGGAAGCAAGCUCAUACUAGCAAAACUGCUACCAGUGCUCAGCUAGUUUCUUUGUAAGAAGGUUGCAUUCAAGUGCAUCACGUACCUCCCAGGAACAAGUUGCUGCUGCGUUCAUAGACACUUGGACAUCACGGAAAAAGGCUACAAAUGUUAUACCGAUAACAGACAUUAAUGUUACACAAUGUUAAUAAUCAUAAUUACUGGGGUGUACUUUUCUGUUCUUAACCCAUGCGUACACGUACACAUAUAUGUCGUGUAAUAGAGUAAACAUCGUUAAUAAUUGUUUGUAUCUGGACACAUUAGUCUCAGCGCACUUUGACGCAGUCUCGGGUUAGCUUAGCGUGCUAGCUGCUAACAAGGAGACGUGAAAGUUAUCAACACAUUGUUAAGCAGAGAACAGCUGUUGUGAUUGUGUGCAAAUGUGCGAAAGAACGACAGCAGAGUCCGAGGAGGAACUUUCUCUAACAAAAGAGGACAACAAGCAGCAACAUCAACUAUUGGACAUUGUUUUCAAGAAGCAUCAAGUUGUGUUAUACAGAACAGGUUUGUUAAAUAUUAAACAAGUUACAAGUUAAAUAUAACUUGUUGUUGGACUCAGGCGGUGUAUUUAAUAACCCAACAAGACGCACGCCAUAUUGUACAUUAACUGGUAAUUGUACACCAACCGUGGCUAAACGUUACCGUAAAUUUUCGACAUAAGCCAAAAAAACACGCUAACCGGGGCGGAUGCUAACCAAGAAUUAAAGCGUUACAAUUGUUAAAUGCCUUAACAAUGGAAAUUAGCAAGGUUUACCUGACACACGGCCAUUUUGAGGAAGCCAUAUCCGAGGCAAAGACGUUAAAGUGUGCUGUGAAAGACCGCCUACUCAGUCAAAAGUGUACACAAUAAUAGAUCAUGGUACCCAAUGGCGGAGGCCGGACGGUGGUCUCGUGGUUAGCAUGUUGGCCAACACAGUAACAGUCUGGAAAUUGGGAAAACCUGGGUUUGAUUCUCCCUUGGGCAUUUCUGUGUGGAGCUUGCAUGUUCUCCCCGUGUGUGCGUGGGCUUCCUCCCAAAAACAUGCAUGGCGACUCUAAAUUGUCCAUAGGUAUAUAUGUGAGUGUGAAUGGUUGUUUGUCUAUAUGUGCCCUGCGAUUGGCUGGCGACCAGUCCAGGGUGUACCACACCUGUUGCCCGAAGUCAGCUGGGAUAUGCUCCAGCAUGCCCCCGCGAGUAGCGGUAUAGAAAACGGAUGGAUAGAUGGUACCCAAAGGCAGAAUGUCGGCCAUUUUAGUAAGUGAGCGAGCAGGGCAUGGCUAGGCGCAGGGCGGGUUAUUUGCUACCUCUGGGCCGAGUAUAAAAUCAAGUUAUGCUUGGUGCGUAGACAGUUUGAGACA